Humulus lupulus (European hop) is the source of this 811-nucleotide long non-coding RNA. RefSeq lists it as uncharacterized. The transcript has 2 exons. NCBI's taxonomy places the organism in Eukaryota, Viridiplantae, Streptophyta, Magnoliopsida, Rosales, Cannabaceae. The record is from RefSeq and is a predicted model, not a curated record.
AAGAAGAGCCAUGUAAAGGCUUUCCCCUCUUUUUCACUCUCUCUCUCUCUCUUUCUCUUUUCCUAGAUCCAAUCAAACCUCUUCUCUCUCGUUUCAAAUUUAUUUCACUCAGUUUUCAGAGGCUUCUCCUUCUCCAUUUAUUGGCUCCCCCUCUUUCUCUCUCAACGAGAGAACCUCCAUUGAAGUUUCCUUGAAGAUCUAAAAUAGGGUUCAACAAAAAGAAAUAAGGGUUCAAGGUGGAGGAGGAGCAUGCAAGCCUAGACCAAGUUGGUGCAUACCGAAAUUUCUAGAAACAAGAGGUAAGUGUUCUAGUGUUUUGAAAAUAUCGAGUAGUGUUCAUUUCUCCUCCAGGGUAUAAGAUAUAAUCUGACUUAUGGUGUGUUAUUGAGGUGCUUGAGGUCUUACCAAUGUGUUAGAAUGCCCAAAAACUUGAAGAGAAAAUCCCCAAAGUAUAGACAACCAAAGAGGUAAAAAGUUUGUGAUUUUCUUGGCUAGUUUGUGUUUCUAAGUUUUGAUAUGUUAGUGAGGGUUUGAGUGUUUGGUUUUGUUUUUUCUAUUUUAAGGUUAUUAUGGAUGUUAUUUGUGAUUCAUGUUGCAUGCUUGAGUAGGAUAGUGGAUAGGUAGUAAAGGAAUCCAAAGUCCUCCUUGUUGUUAGGCUUGGUUUGACAGAUUUGGGGGUUGGACUUCCAACGAGUAACCCAUCAAAAGUUGUUUGUUUUAUGUGUAUUAUUUACAAAUUCUUACUUUUUAGUUUGUGUAAAUGAUUUUAUACCUAUAAAACGUUUAAAAGUACCAUAUUUUGACUAAGUUA